RNAcentral lists this ribosomal RNA (516 nucleotides) under uncultured bacterium. Its description in RNAcentral is "partial 16S ribosomal RNA". It matches the Rfam family "Bacterial small subunit ribosomal RNA", at positions 355 to 866 of the family's 1533-position model. The record is from RNAcentral.
UGGGGAAUUUUGGACAAUGGGCGAAAGCCUGAUCCAGCAAUGCCGCGUGUGAAGAAGGCCUUCGGGUUGUAAAGCACUUUUGUCCGGAAAGAAAUGGCUCUGGUUAAUACCUGGGGUCGAUGACGGUACCGGAAGAAUAAGGACCGGCUAACUACGUGCCAGCAGCCGCGGUAAUACGUAGGGUCCAAGCGUUAAUCGGAAUUACUGGGCGUAAAGCGUGCGCAGGCGGUUGUGCAAGACCGAUGUGAAAUCCCCGAGCUUAACUUGGGAAUUGCAUUGGUGACUGCACGGCUAGAGUGUGUCAGAGGGGGGUAGAAUUCCACGUGUAGCAGUGAAAUGCGUAGAGAUGUGGAGGAAUACCGAUGGCGAAGGCAGCCCCCUGGGAUAACACUGACGCUCAUGCACGAAAGCGUGGGGAGCAAACAGGAUUAGAUACCCUGGUAGUCCACGCCCUAAACGAUGUCAACUAGUUGUUGGGGAUUCAUUUCCUUAGUAACGUAGCUAACGCGUGAAGUU